Molecule: unclassified non-coding RNA, 318 nt
Filed under: Hevea brasiliensis (rubber tree)
Lineage: Eukaryota; Viridiplantae; Streptophyta; Magnoliopsida; Malpighiales; Euphorbiaceae
Source: RNAcentral
CGUUUAGUCAUUUGUGAUCAACAUGGUUCCCAGGCCCGUUUUCUUCUAGCUAAGUUGAAUCCUUCUGCUACAUGCAACACCGAUGCUCCUCUUCCCGGUGGAGAUAUCUUGUUUACAGAUGAUGUAAGCUUUGAGGUCUUCUUAGAUCAUCUCCAGAGACUAGCAGUAAUUAAUCCAAUAUCACAAGAAAGACUAAAAUAAAUUGUAUACUUACUGUACAAAAUGUCAAAAUUAAGUUUACAAAAUUGCCAUUAAUGAUGCAUGUUUUUAUUGAACUGCUAGUCUCUGGAGAUGAUCUAAGAAGACCUCAAAGCUUAC